GAGAUAUGUGUAAACCCAAAGCAAAAGAAAAGAAAAGAAAAGAACGACGAAAAGGAAGUAGAGAGAACGGGAGAGAGAGAAACGGCGGAGGGAGAGAGGCUUUGGGUCCUUGGGGUCGCCGGAAAAGCUUGGUGGUCGCCGAUCUACGCCCUACGGUGGUCGCCGAUGAGAAGACAAGAAGAGAAGCUCGGCUGUGGCGUUAGGAUUAAAGGUGAAGGAGUGAGGAGGCGUCGGUCCCAGAAGAUAAGAGCGGCAAACAAAUUUUAGGGCUUUAAUCAAACAAGAUCAACGAGCACAACUCAGAAGCUAGACUCAUGGAAAAAGUAAGAAUGGCAGGGAAAACAGCAACAAGUUCAAAGUUCAAACUAAAAAUGGGUAGCAUUUCUUUCCCCUUUUAUUUAGCAUGCUAAUGUUCAAAUAUCUAGAUCUGUACACACAGAUACACAGGACAUGUACACAUCAUUUUUAUUCACAAAAGCAUGCAUUUCUGAACAUAAAAGCUCUUACCUUUCUGUCAGUUUUGCUCAUACAUGCCUGUGCUUGAAUACAUUUUAUUUACACAUGCUCAGAUUCACAUUCAUACAUGAUCACAGGACAUACACACACGACCACACAGCCCAGUAAACUCAUUUUGAAAUGUCCUCAAAACCCAACCCCUGAAAAUACCCACUCGAAACAAAACCCAAAUCAAAACACAAACACCUUUUGGCCAUACCCAAUAAAAAUCCCACCUUUGAAAUCCAAACCCAAAUCUCCAAACACACUGACCAAAAAGAAGAAAAAGAAAACAGAGAGGAAGAGGAGAAGACCACCACCUUUGGACAUGGUGGUUGGCGGUGGAGCUGUGGAGCUUCGGUUUAGAGAGAGAAAAAGAUCCGAGUGAGUUUAGGGUAAGAUCUUGAGAGGAGAGAGCUUCGGCUAAGAGAAAGAGGAGUUGAGGUUUCAGCCAUGAAGGUCCAACCAAGAAGCUUCGGUAGAUUUUGAGAGAAGAGAAGGAUGUGGGAUUAGAGAGAAAGAGGGUGCCAUACUGCCAUGGGACAUGGAUUAGAGAAGAUUAUAUGUUAAUCUGAUGAGGGAGAUUUUAAUUUGAGAAGAUAUAAGAAGAGAUUAAAAGAAAUAAAAUUAAGACUCAAUUAAAUCCAGCCCAACACGCCAACACACUUAAAUAAAUUUAAGCCCAAUCCGUGUGUGUGUAAAGUAGGCCCUAUCCGAAAUUUAUUUAAGCAUGAACACAUAGGCCCAUCAAAUUUCCCCAAGCUUUAGCCCAACACUUGCAAAACCUCAACUUAAGUCCAAACAUUCAGCCCAACCCUUGGGUCCGCAAGCCUCAAACAAAACUUCUGAGAAUUACAAACCAACCCCAAAUCUUUUCAAAAUUACCCUUUUGACCCAUGACUUUUCCAAAACACAACUUUAAUCACAAACUUUUCCAAAUUGCAUUUUAACUCUUCAACUUCACAAAAUUACAUUUUUACCCUAAACUUUAUGAAAUCACAAAAUGGCCCCAAAAUUGCCCAAAAAUUUUACAAAGACCCUUAAGGUCAAGAAAAUAAUAAUAAAAAGAUUUCUUCAAGAUCAAUAAUUUGUCAAAUGACAUUGUUUAUGCAUCUUCUAGAAAUUUAACCUUGGUGUUCCUUGUUAUUUCUUUGUAUCCCCUUUUGCAUGAGAUAAAAAUGCUUUGGAAAAAGGAAGUGCAAGAUUGCACUUGGUAUGCUACAUUAUGGCUAUUCAAUGAGGUUAGUCUCGUUAAAUUUAUCAUUCAAUUUAUUUUCUUAGUAAAUGCCAUGUAAUCACAUGUUUAGCUAUGCUUGUCUUAUCUUGCUUUCCCAAAUAAAUUAUACAUGCCAUGCAUCCAUAUGUCACUUUAGGGUAGAUUAUACAUGUCAUACAUUCACAUGCCAUCUUAUGAUAAAUACAUGCCAUUUCUCACAUGUCAUCUUAGGAUGGAUACAUGCCAUUUUUCACAUGCUAUCUUAGGAUAGAUACAUGUCAUUUCUCACGUGUCAUCUUAGGAUGGAUACAUGCCAUUUUUCACAUGUCAUCUUAGGAUAGAUUAUGCAUGUUAUUUUUACUUGCUUAAUCAUUAUCUUAUUUCACAUGUACAUGCAUAUCAUUCUUUUUUAAACCAAAUGUCAAAUAUUUUAAGUUGUUCUUUAAAUGGUGAGCUAUAAGAUUAAUUCAAAACAAGGUACUAUCCUUUUGAAUAGGCAUUGUGAGGUGUCUAACACCUUCCCCACAUGUAAUUGAGCUUUCGAAUCCAUGUCUUUUGGUUCAAGAUUUUUUUUUUUCUAGUUUAGCUUAGGAACCUUAGAGUUUUCUUCGUUAAAAUUAGGAAAUAAAAAUAAUUAGACUUAGGUGACCAAUCACGUCUUAGAAUUCCAAUGGUUGGUGGCGAUUUCCAAAAAUGAAUAUAAGGAAGUUUAUUUGCACAAACCCCACAUUAGUGUUCUACACGUCACACACAUUGUGCAUUUUGUAGCAAACACAUGUUUCGCCGAGUGAAAAACCCUCAAUGGUUGGGGGAUAAUGUUGAACGUGGGUCAAAAUUCGGGUACGAGUAUGACAGAUGGGUUGUGGUCAUGUCGGAGGGUUUUUUAAUGGUUUUUUUUUUUUUUUUAAUGAGUUGUUGAUAAUUUUUUAAAUGAACUGGUAUUUUUUAGUUGUUGUCGUCAAAGUAAAAAUAGUAUACGGCUUGUGUCUAUUUUUUUUUAUACACUGAAUACGCUAUGAUGUAGAUAUGUGUUUAAAAUGUUUUAGACGUGUUUAAAAUGUUUUGGACAUGUGUUUGAAUUGUAUCGUGUCCAGUGCAAAAAGGCACUGGACACAAGCUAUAUCCUCUGAAAGUUCAGAGCAUGCAUGACGCAUGAUAGAUUUUUACUUUGACAAUUUACAGCAACUGAAAAAUAUCACUUUCAUUUAAAAUAAUAUCAACUCAUUAAAAUGAUAAAAAUAAAAACAACCAUAAAAACACAUUGACGCUGGAACAACAUUUUUUUUUUUUUUUUGAAAAUCCAAAAUCAACAAAUAAUUAAAAAAGUUGUCAGCAAUUGAAAAACACAAAAUAGAUGUUUCUUAAUACAUUGCAAUGCAAUCUAUCAAAAUGGAACUUGGCUAGUGGUCAGUAGCUGUGUACCAUUUUAGUAUUACCACUAUUUAUAUAUAUAUAUAUAUAUAUAUUUGGGCAAUUAUUGGUUUUACAUUACAUUAUCAAUGUAAGAUUUACACUGUAAAUUAAACAAAUUUAUAUAACAUUGUACACAUUUGUUAAAAGUGUACAAUGUUGUACACAUUUUUUUAGUUUACAAUAUAAAAUUAUAAAUCUUCAAGGCUAGGGCCAUAUCCAAUUGAUCGGGUGUAGGCACUACCGGCAGAGGUAGCAAAGGCAGUGCCGGUCCACCACCAUAAACAGUAGCACCACCUACUUCAUAAGCAUCAGUAGCAGGGACGGUUGGCCGAGCUCACUCAGCAGCUUAUGAUCUUGAUCUUUCUGACCUUGAUUCUGUCGAUUCAUAAGCAGUGAAAGGUGCACGAGUAGUUCCAGGUGCAGGAGCAUCGAUAGUAGCACCAUUAGCAACGGCACCGGUGGUAGAGAUAGCGGCAUAGGCAGCGUAUAUUAAUAGUAAAAUAUAAACAAAUAUUUUUCCUUUUCUUUUUCUUUGUCACAUAAAUUUAUGUCUUUUGCAAAA
Long non-coding RNA from Quercus robur (English oak), 3686 nucleotides. RefSeq lists it as uncharacterized. The record is from RefSeq and is a predicted model, not a curated record. The transcript has 2 exons. Lineage: Eukaryota; Viridiplantae; Streptophyta; Magnoliopsida; Fagales; Fagaceae.